GGAACCCACAGCAGCAACGUUAACAAGUAUUCUUCUUUUCCGGUUAUAAAGCUCUAGCCUCAUCUUUCAACUGCGCCUCUCUGCUUCUUCUUCUGCCUGCAACUCGCCAAUCUUUCUCUCUAUCCCUCUGCCCGAUAGAACGAAGAAGCCACCGACUCUCCAAUUGAAGACGCAGGAGAACCCUUUUCACAAUGUCUUCUCUAUUCCAAAACGACGAUGCUGACCAAGACAUUUGCUCUGACGAUGACGAAAUCGACGAUGGAUUCAAUGAUGACAUUGAGGCCCUAAGGCGCGCCUGCACCCUCACCGGCACCAAUCUCAGCGACGUCAACAUUGACAACGGUGAGAAUAAUCGCUCUCUCUCUGCAGAAGGUGAUGGGGAUUCAUGCAGUGGCGAGGACGAGGAGGAUGAAGAUGAUUUCAAAUUAUUCAGAAUCAUACAGAAUCGUUUCUCAUUUGGGACUGAUUCGUGUGAGCCUAUCUAUUCAAAGCCUCUCUGUGCUUUUCCAUUGGAUUUCGACGAUGAGGAGGAUGACUUCGAGACUCUUUGUGCUGUUCGGAAGCGUUUUUCCGCGUAUGAUAACAGUGAAGGAAAAUUGGAGAACUUGGCUGAGAAAUCAGAGGGUGUUGAUGCAUCUAGUGUAGUCUCGAAGUUAGUAACUUCUGAUGAUUCAGUGAUAGAUAGGACAGCUUGUAAAGUUUUUCCAGAUACUGAAGAAGGCUUAAAUAGCACCUUAUUAAGUGAUAAUAUGGAGAUACAGCCAUCUGGUUACAUUGAGCAGCAGCAUUCAUUGGAUGCUUGUAAGUUUUCAUCUUUGGGGCGAAAAGAUUCUUCUAGCUUCCCAAAGUCUGCGCAAGUCUUUAUUGAUGCAAUUAAGAAGAACAGGUCCUGUCAGAAGUUCCUACGGAAAAAAUUGGCUCAUAUUGAAGCAAGAAUAGAGGAGAACAAAAAAUUGAAAGAGCGUGUUAAAAUUCUUAGAGACUUUCAGGUUUCAUGUAAAAAAAUCACUGGACGAGCUCUGGCACAAGGGAAAGAUCCUCGAAUUCAAUUGAUAUCGACACCCAGAAUAUCAAAUUCUAGAGAUUCUAAGGUAAAUGAUAAAAAGGUCUCUACUAUGCAUAAUGGUCCACCGGAGAAUUCUCAUGUUGCUAAUUAUCGAAUGGCAUUGACAAAUUUUCCUCUUAAUUUAAAUCGGAAAAAUUGGACGGAGGCAGAAAAGGAAAAUCUUCAAAAGGGGAUUAGGCAACAAUUUCAAGAAAUGGUGCUACAAUUUUCAGUGGAUCAAUUAAGUGGUUCAGAAGGAUCUCCUGGAAAUGUGAAUGAUUUGGAUGCAGUUCUCGCAUCAAUCAGAGAGAUGGAAAUUACCCCAGAAAGGAUUAGAGAGUUUCUUCCAAAGGUUAAUUGGGACCAAUUGGCGUCCUUGUAUGUUGUUGGUCGUUCUGGCGCAGAAUGUGAAGCAAACAAGUGCCCUUCAAAUCAAGCUAGCGUCGCAGACGUCUAUGACGAUCACCAUCACAUGCAUCUUUACUAUUGUUGGAUUUGAGUAAAAAGUGCAAGGUUAACACAUUUCACACAGGUGGGACCCAUAAAUAACAUGUGCUUUACUCAAAACAGUGGUGUUGAUUGCGUCUGGUGAUGAUUGUCAUCAGAUGUCUGUGACGCUCACAUUUUCUUAUUUUAUCAAACUAUCCACCGUGUAAUCCUGAAUUGAUUUGCUUUACGAACUUUAUCUGAUAUAAACCAUUAUUUCUACAGGUGGUUGAAUAGUGAAGAUCCAUUAAUCAAUCACAGUAAAUGGACUGCUGAAGAGGAUAAGAAGCUAUUGUUUAUUGUCCAGGAAAAAGGGAUGACGAAUUGGUUGGAUAUUGCAGCUUCAUUGGGGAAGAAUAGGACCCCAUUUCAAUGCUUAGCACGUUUCCAAAGGAGUUUAAAUGCUCACAUAAUAAAAAGGGAGUGGACAAAGGAAGAGGAUGCUCAACUUCGCAUUGCUGUGGGAACUUAUGGUGAACAUGAUUGGCAGUCUGUGGCUUCUACUUUAGAAGGACGGACUGGAACUCAAUGCUCUAAUAGAUGGAAGAAAUCCAUACAUCCAGGCAAUGGCAGAAAGGGGAAAUGGACCUUGGAUGAACGCAAGCGCCUGAAAGUAGCUGUAAUGCUUUUUGGUCCAAGGAACUGGAACAAAAUAGCUCGAUUCGUGCCGGAACGAACUGCACCACAAUGUAGAGAAAGAUGGGUUAAUUCUGAAGAUCCUUCUUUGAAUAUGGACAAAUGGACCGAAGAAGAGGAUUUAAGGUUAAAAGCAGCCAUUGAAGAAUAUGGAUAUUGCUGGGCCAAGAUUGCUAAAUGUCUCCCACCACGAACAGAUAGCCAAUGUAGGAGGAGAUGGAAGGUGUUACUUCCACAUGAGGUCCCUUUGCUACAAGCAGCAAGAAAAACACAAAAAGUUGCAAUUAUAGGUAACUUUGUGGACCGUGAAUCAGAACGGCCUGCACUUGGUCCUCAUGAUUUUGUUCCAUUACCAAUGAUAACAUCAGCAUUUGAGCCUGAAAAACAGAAUCAAUCCAGGAAGCGUAAAAGGAAAAGCAGAGAAGGGGAAGUAUCUGGUAAGAAAAAAAAUGCUGCACCUGGGUAAGCUACACUUUUGAUGUUAGUGGCUUGUUUUCUUAUUGUGGGAAUUUCAAGAAUUUCUUUUUUUGGUGAUAUAUUGUUAUGUUGAGGAUUAAAUGUCUAUUUAGUAUUUGUAUAUUGUCUUAACUGAAUUCUUCAUUUGAUUUCUACAUUUUUUUUCAUGGAAUGCAGCAAUACUUCAAAGAGGCUUCAAUCCAAAAGACCUAAUGAAGGAAUGCAAAUUUCUUCUGUGGAAGACCCUGGGAUAACUAAUGGCACUGAAGUUGCGACCUUUGGUGAGAGUGGUAUGGUUGUGACUAAGAGCAGUUCUUCAGAAAAGAAUCCUCAUAUGAAAACAUAUCAAGAUAUAGCUGAUGCCCAAGAUGGUGAUCCUAAAAAGAAGAAAAAACUUCCUAAAUUACCUCUGAAAAGAAAUGUGCUUGUUGAAAUCGCUGGCAACAGCCAGAGUUGUCUUUUAUCACACCCUGAAAGCUUGGAAUUAGGGAUAUCAAAUGUAGAUGGUUUGCAGACCUUUGGUGGGGAAAGUGAAACAUCAAGUGAGAAAAGAAAAGUUCAAGAACAGCAUUCUGAGGCAAACACAUGCACUAACACAGGUGAAGAAGAGGGAUCAGAACCUAUUACUGAUGUUAUUGAAUUGGACCAUGAUCAUUGUGAUUCAAAUGUCUUGGCAGUAAAUAUUGUUGAUCAGGAUGAAACAGUUGGUCAGCCUGAUGCUUCCAACAAGGAGGUCACCAAUCUAUCCUUAGAAGGGAAAGCAUUUAUGGAAUUGGCUGAUUCCAACUGUUUAACAUUGCCCCCUGAAAAUUUAGAAGCAAGGGUAACUAAUGCUGGAGGUGUUGAGAAGUCUUCUUUGGAUGGCAUCUCUUUGAUUAAGGCAAGCAAGGCUCCCAAUUGCACGAGUAAAAGCAGCACUGAACUGUCAGGGCAAUGCAAUUUUGUUGUGUCAAAUCCUUGUCACCAUGAUGGACAUAGAAAGUCAAAAUUGAGCAAAUCUUCUAAUAAGCAGGUUUUAGAGGAUAAUGGUAAACUUGCUUCCUUUUGUCAAAAAAUAUCAAAAAAGAGAAGGCUCCGAGUUGAUAAAAAUGAUAAGCAGAUUUUAGAGACGAAUGAUGAGGAUGAUGUUACACUUGCUUCCUUUUGUCGAAGUAUAUCAAAGAAGAGAAGGGUUCGAGUUGUUAAAAAUGCAGAUCAGACCUGCCCUCCUUCUGAUUUGGUGUCCAAAAGAGUAUAUCAACAUGAUUAUCCAAAUAAAAUGCCAUCCUUCAUGCUAGAUGGUGAAGCUCAGACAUGCUACAGUGGUGGAUUUGCAGAAAAUGUUUUGUUAGAGGAACCCAGUGUGGUAGACACGGCCAAGACAGAUGCUCCCCAGGAGCCAAUGAGAAAACCGAUUAGCAUCGAUCAUGAUAGUGAUCUUGAGAUGAGUGACAUUACCCUUGCUAGCUUAUUGCAUAACAAACAGAAAAGGAAGGGUCAAGUUCUUGCAAAAAGCCGUGAUCAGCCACACUCUCUUUCCCGCAUGAAAAAGAGAUCAAGGCCGCUGGCCAAAGGGGUAGUACAAUGCUGCAAUGGUAGAAUGUUAGAAACUUCGUCAGGUUGUGAAAUACAGUCGUGUGGUACAAGCAGUAUACCAACGAUUACAGGUGAUGACAAGGAGCCAGAUGGACAAGAUGUGGCUGAUUAACCAACCAUUCCCUGUCAGCUGGUUAGGGAAUCUGUCAUUGUAAAUGCUGAAGGAGUUCAUGAGGGCAAUGGUGAGCACACACAGUUCCUCCCUCCGGGUUUUCAGAAACCUAUGUAAAGAAAUUUUCAUGCAGCUCAAAGAGGAGCUAAGUCUGAAUUUUGGUGCAGGUAGGACUUUUUGCAUAGAAGCUGAGGCUUGUGAAUUUUUGAAUUUAAUUAAUUAGACUUCGUUUUUUUUUUUUUUUUUA
Molecule: unclassified non-coding RNA, 4557 nt
Filed under: Hevea brasiliensis (rubber tree)
Lineage: Eukaryota; Viridiplantae; Streptophyta; Magnoliopsida; Malpighiales; Euphorbiaceae
Source: RNAcentral